Long non-coding RNA from Mytilus californianus (California mussel), 993 nucleotides. RefSeq lists it as uncharacterized. The record is from RefSeq and is a predicted model, not a curated record. NCBI's taxonomy places the organism in Eukaryota, Metazoa, Mollusca, Bivalvia, Mytilida, Mytilidae. The transcript is spliced from 2 exons.
UUCUUGUAUUGUCCAAUUUUGGGCAAUGUCAGUUAUCAUUUUUAUGCAUUUUUACAAUAGGUAUUACGAUUUGGUGGAGAUUUCUUUUCCGAAUCCACUAAGUUGGUCAAUCAAACAGUUUAUCUAUGUCUUUUUGAAGUUAUUUAUACUUUAUUUUCCUGCUUUUUAAGCUUGUAUUUUGUUAUUUUUCAAUUGACAUAUUGAGCCAUAGCUAGUCUUAGACACAAAUAUUUUGUGAAACAAACUUGUCAACAUUUCAUUUGUUGCAGAACAAUCCAUGAUAAAUCAAAACAUAUUUGUAAUGCAAGCAGGAUAACUGUUAUCUGAUACAUAAAAAGGUAAAACAACUUCAUUUAUUCAAAAACACCAUUUCCAUAACUAUGAUAAAACACUGAUAUAUGUCUCUUAAAUGGAUCAACUACUAAAUAAGCAAAAGUUUGUUGAUGAUCUGUAUCUGUAGGGUAGAUCUGAGAAUCUUCAUGCUGAAAAUAUAAUACAAAAAUUUUUCUUUAUAGGACUUCACAGCAAAAUGUUGUUUUUUUUAUGAACAAUGCUAUAUAUAUACAUAGAUAUAUACAUUGUAGCUACUAUAAUAGCAAAAAAUAAAAUAAAUUCCUUGGUAGUUUUCAAAUAUGUCUUGUUGUUUCUCAGAGUUAUGGUUUAUAGCCUAAGAAAAUGGAAAAUACAUAUUUGAUGUAUAUUUUCAAUUGGCAAAGUAUGUGCGCACCCAAGAAACAACUUUAUGUUUGGUGAGAUUAUGUCAAUAGUUUUGAUAAAGCUUCUCUUAAAUUAUUUUGUUGUUUCUUGGCUGCGCACGAUGUUUCCACAAUGGAAAUAAAGAUGGAAAACUGCAUAAAUUCUGAAUUUUUCAUUGUUAUCAUGAAAAUGCUACAUAUAAUGACGUAAUUGUGACGUCAUCAGAUAAAAAUAUUAUGUUUUUCAUUUAUAUUUCUUGACUCUAUGCAUUUCCAAACAUUAUGUGCCAUUUUGAAA